Long non-coding RNA from Oncorhynchus kisutch (coho salmon), 284 nucleotides. RefSeq lists it as uncharacterized. NCBI's taxonomy places the organism in Eukaryota, Metazoa, Chordata, Actinopteri, Salmoniformes, Salmonidae. The transcript has 2 exons. The record is from RefSeq and is a predicted model, not a curated record.
ACUGGCGGCCCCUGUAGUGGACAAUGUGUGAAUCAGGACAACCUGAAAAGAGGUCAACGACAUGUCAAAGACUUCUUUGAGGAGCGUCAUGUAUAUGUUUUCUUCUGGAUACAUUCUUUGGGUGUAAUGUAUUGUUCUAACAUGUCAAAUAAAGUGUUCUAUAUAAAACAAUCCUAACCGUUGGAGCUACCUUAACACCAUGUCGUAGGCUUGUCAUCUGACAUGUAUCAAUCAACCCUUUUGUAAGCAUGGAACUCUGAACCAUCCACCGGAGGGAGAUAAGU